GAUGAACGCUGGCGGCGUGCCUAAUACAUGCAAGUCGAACGCAUUGAGAGAAGUGCUUGCACUUUUCAAUUUGAGUGGCGAACGGGUGAGUAACACGUUCGCAACCUACCUGAUAGCGGGGGAUAACGAGUGGAAACAUUCGCUAAUACCGCAUAACGACAGCGAAGGCAUCUUCUUAAUUUCAAAGGCGAUUUCAAGCGUCACUAUCAGAUGCGCCCGUGGUGCAUUAGUUAUGUGGUGGGGUGAAGGCCUACCAAGACGAUGAUGCAUCGACGAGUUGCGAGACUGAUCGGACACAUUAGGACUGCGACACAGCCCAAACUCCUACGGGAGGCUGCAGUAGGGAAUCUUCCACAAUGUUCGAAAGUCUGAUGGGUCAUCGCCGCGUGUGUGAUGAAGGCUUUCGGGUCGUAAAGCACUGUUGUAUGGGAAGAAAUGCUAGGCUAGGAAAUGAGCUUAGUUUGACGGUACCAUACCAGAAAGGGACGGCUAAAUACGUGCCAGCAGCCGCCGUAA
RNAcentral lists this ribosomal RNA (516 nucleotides) under uncultured bacterium. Its description in RNAcentral is "partial 16S ribosomal RNA". It matches the Rfam family "Bacterial small subunit ribosomal RNA", at positions 28 to 523 of the family's 1533-position model. The record is from RNAcentral.